AUGUUGGAUCACGGAGCUCCGGAGUUACCUAACGCAAGGGACCCUGCCGGAGAAGGAGGAGGAAGCGGAGCGAGUCCAUUUGCAGUCUGGGGGCUGGAUAUCUUGGGCCCGUUUCCUCGGGCGCCUGGGGGCUACCGCUACCUCUACGUUGCCGUGGACAAGUUCACCAAGUGGGCUGAAGUAGAGGCUGUCCGCACCAUUCCCGCGGGUUCCGCGGUCAAGUUCAUCAAGGGCAUCGUGAGCCGGUUCGGGGUGCCGAAUCGCAUCAUCACGGACAACGGUUCACAGUUUACAAGUAACCUCUUCAAAACAUAUUGUGCUAAUCUUGGAACGCAGAUAUGA
This 342-nucleotide ribosomal RNA is filed under the name Triticum aestivum (bread wheat). RNAcentral's name for it is "partial small subunit ribosomal RNA". Lineage: Eukaryota; Viridiplantae; Streptophyta; Magnoliopsida; Poales; Poaceae. The record is from RNAcentral.